This 391-nucleotide ribosomal RNA is filed under the name uncultured bacterium. RNAcentral describes it as "bacterial SSU rRNA". It matches the Rfam family "Bacterial small subunit ribosomal RNA", at positions 28 to 420 of the family's 1533-position model. The record is from RNAcentral.
AUUGAACGCUGGCGGCAUGCUUUACACAUGCAAGUCGAGCGGCAGCGCGGGGGCAACCCUGGCGGCGAGCGGCGAACGGGUGAGUAAUGCAUCGGAACGUACCCUGGAGUGGGGGGAUAACGCCGCGAAAGCGGCGCUAAUACCGCAUAUGCUCUGAGGAGGAAAGUGGGGGACCGCAAGGCCUCACGCUCUGGGAGCGGCCGAUGUCCGAUUAGCUAGUUGGUGGGGUAAAGGCUUACCAAGGCGACGAUCGGUAGCUGGUCUGAGAGGAUGAUCAGCCACACUGGGACUGAGACACGGCCCAGACUCCUACGGGAGGCAGCAGUGGGGAAUUUUGGACAAUGGGGGCAACCCUGAUCCAGCCAUGCCGCGUGAGUGAAGAAGGCCUCGG